Molecule: transfer RNA, 77 nt
Filed under: Pseudomonadota bacterium
Lineage: Bacteria; Pseudomonadati; Pseudomonadota
Also listed under: 4 other names
Description: tRNA-Met
Rfam family: tRNA
About the family: Transfer RNA (tRNA) molecules are approximately 80 nucleotides in length. Their secondary structure includes four short double-helical elements and three loops (D, anti-codon, and T loops). Further hydrogen bonds mediate the characteristic L-shaped molecular structure. tRNAs have two regions of fundamental functional importance: the anti-codon, which is responsible for specific mRNA codon recognition, and the 3' end, to which the tRNAs corresponding amino acid is attached (by aminoacyl-tRNA synthetases). tRNAs cope with the degeneracy of the genetic code in two manners: having more than one tRNA (with a specific anti-codon) for a particular amino acid; and 'wobble' base-pairing, i.e. permitting non-standard base-pairing at the 3rd anti-codon position.
Source: RNAcentral
CGCGGGGUGGAGCAGUCUGGUAGCUCGUUGGGCUCAUAACCCAAAGGUCAGAGGUUCGAAUCCUCUCCCCGCUACCA